Molecule: ribosomal RNA, 279 nt
Filed under: uncultured bacterium
Lineage: Bacteria
Description: partial 16S ribosomal RNA
Rfam family: Bacterial small subunit ribosomal RNA
Source: RNAcentral
UGCCAGCAGCCGCGGUAAUACGGAGAGGGCAAGCGUUGUUCGGAUUUACUGGGCAUAAAGCGCACGUAGGCGGAUCAGUAAGUCGGUUGUGAAAUCCCAGGGCUUAACCCUGGAACUGCUUCCGAAACUACUAAUCUUGAGGAUGAGAGGGGAGAGUGGAACUUCUGGUGGAGCGGUGAAAUGCGUAGAUAUCAGAAGGAACACCGGUGGCGAAAGCGACUCUCUGGGUCUCUUCUGACGCUGAGGGACGAAAGCUAGGGGAGCAAACAGGAUUAGAUA